AUGGAGUUCCCUAAUUGCAAAAACCCGCCUGCCGUAUGUGGAGAUCUUGAAGGACCGUCUUGCCAUGUUUCAGUUCCGAUGACAACCUUCUAUUGGGUUGAAGCUCUAAGAUGGCACAAGAGAACUACUGGAGUACGAAGUGAUGCUUUGAAUGGCCUAUCCCUCAUGAAGCGCGAGCUCGUCGACCAUUGCAUGUACACGAGGGGUAUACAUCAGUUUGAAUAUUCAGAGAUGAAAAAGAUGAUUAGAUGUGCAUUCGGGGCUUUGGAAGACAGGAUCCCGAAGAAUGAUCUCAUUGAGAGCAAUGCGGGCGUCUUGGACGAUUCAGGGAUCAUUCUUGUGCAUGAUGAUGCAGGAGCCCAUGUAACGGCAUUGUUCAAGAAAUCAAAAGAUGGCAGGCUUGUAAUUGAAGGAGGUUUUCGGAAGUAUGUCAUACACAUCCAAAUGAAGGAAGAUGAUCUUGUGGUCGUCACAUUCCACGAACGCGCUGGGACUGCGUCAAUGACUGUCCGAGUGUGCAUCAUAUCUUAA
RNAcentral lists this ribosomal RNA (531 nucleotides) under Triticum aestivum (bread wheat). Its description in RNAcentral is "partial small subunit ribosomal RNA". The record is from RNAcentral. Lineage: Eukaryota; Viridiplantae; Streptophyta; Magnoliopsida; Poales; Poaceae.